Molecule: long non-coding RNA, 389 nt
Organism: Pezoporus flaviventris
Lineage: Eukaryota; Metazoa; Chordata; Aves; Psittaciformes; Psittacidae
Exons: 4
Source: RefSeq, a predicted model, not a curated record
GGCGCGCGGCCGCGGCGGGGGCGGGGCUUGACCGGCACCUGCAGGCGCUGGCGGCUACGGCGCGGCUGCUGAGGCUCCGCCCCCCGCUGCUGGAGGAGGUCCUCAGCCAACCCUGGGCUCUGGCGUCAAGCCCCGCCCCUAGGGCGGAGCCUCCGCUCUUGCCCCGCCCCCUGUACCCGGGGGGGGCGGGCUUCGCACCGCCCCAUCGCGAUGCCUACGGGGUCUCCUACGCCCAGGGCAGGGGCGGCUCCAUCCUGUUCCAUGUGUCCUGUCGAGCCUCCAGCCCCAUAACAGAUGCUCGACGCUUCGCUGCCCAGAUCAAGGCUGCACUGGGGGAACUGGGGGAGCUGCUGGGGGGGGGGGCUGAGGAGUGAAGGGGGAGAGCCCCC